CCUACGUGGGGCAGCAAUGGGGAAUAUUGCGCAAUGGGCGAAAGCCUGACGCAGCGACGCCGCGUGAGGGAUGAAGGUCUUCGGAUCGUAAACCUCUGUCAGCAGGGAAGAACGGUCACUGUGCUAAUCAGCAGUGAAUUGACGGUACCUGCAAAGGAAGCACCGGCUAACUCCGUGCCAGCAGCCGCGGUAAUACAGAGGGUGCGUGCGUUAAUAGGAUUUACUGGGCGUAAAGCGCUCGUAGGCGGUAUGUCAAGUGAAGGGUGAAAUCCCCGCGCUCAACGUGGGAACUGCCUUUGAGACUGGCGAACUUGAGUGUGUGAGAGGAUAGUGGAAUUCCGGGUGUAGGAGUGAAAUGCGUAGAUAUCUGGAGGAACAUCAGUGGCGAAGGCGACUAUCUGGCACAUAACUGACGCUGAGGAGCGAAAGCGUGGGUAGCAAACAGGAUUAGAUACCCGAGUAGUC
Molecule: ribosomal RNA, 465 nt
Filed under: uncultured bacterium
Lineage: Bacteria
Description: partial 16S ribosomal RNA
Rfam family: Bacterial small subunit ribosomal RNA
Source: RNAcentral